CAACCGGAAAAAAUCGAACCAAACCAAAUCGAAAUUUUUUUAUUAAACGUAUUGUUUUAUCAUUUUAAAUUAUAAAAACGAACUGAAAUUUUUUUUUUUUUGUCACCGAACCAAUCUGAGAUGGAGAAAAUUUGUUUUAAAAGUAUAUUUUUCUAGAAGGUUUGUUUUGAGACUUUGUAUGGUUUAAGAGCUCAAAUUAUAUUAAAAAAAACUAUAACAAAUAAAUUUGAACAAUCAGAAAUUACGGUCCAUUAUGUAAAUCAUCUCCUUCAU
Molecule: long non-coding RNA, 273 nt
Filed under: Capsella rubella
Lineage: Eukaryota; Viridiplantae; Streptophyta; Magnoliopsida; Brassicales; Brassicaceae
Description: long non-coding RNA (CRUB_LNC004279)
Source: RNAcentral